UAUGUAUUUUUCUACAGUGACGCUACGUCAUGUCCUGCAUAAUUCAUCAAAGAAAGCGUUUUAUUGUUCAAUUAAACAUUUAAUAACUUUGAAAGAAAUUUGAUGCAUAGCAAAAAUAAAUGAGUUUCCAUUGAGUGAUAUUUAUACCCCCGCUGCGAAGGAGAAGGGGGUACACUGUUUUACCCUUGUGUGUCCGUCUGUCCGUCACAAAAAAAUCUGUCGCAUUUUUCUCAGCAACUAUUUAUCGCAGAUGCUUGAAAAUUUAUCACACUAGUUGUUUAAGCAUGUUAUAUCGUGGGAUAUAUUUUUGCACCAAUCGGAAUCCAACUUUUUGUUAAAUGACUUCUUUGUUUAUUUUUAGUAAAAAUUUUAAAACAAACUUUCGUCAAAGAUUUCUCAGCAACUGUUUAUCGCAGAUGCUUGAAAUUUUAACACAUUAUUUGUUUAGGCAUACCAUAUUGUGGGAUGUAUUUUUGUACUAAUCGGACGCCAACUUUCUGUUAAAUGACUGCUUAAUUUGAAUAUUCACAUUAGAGCGGGGGUAUUACUAGUGAGCAUUGCCUCACAGAUAUCUUGUUGGUUUUGUUAUUUGAAUAACAAGCAUGCAUAGGUUCAUUUGGUGCCAACUGUUCCGGUGGACCUUGUAUAAAGGGGUAUUUCGGUCAUGGCUGUAAGGAUAAAUGUAACUGUACGAAACAACAAGACUGUGACAGAAUUGUUGGAUGUACCGUUUCAAAACUGCUGAAUGGAUAUGAGAUCUCUAGAUCAAAUAGCGAUCUGAGAGAUAAAAUUCUACUUGUUCUUCUUGGAAUCCUCAUCGGAACUGUCAUGUCAGCAGCUGGAUACGCUUUGAAAUGGGUUUUCAACAGACGUAAUACCCAGGUUCCAAAUAUCCAUGGUCGGGAACCAUCUAACUAUGUUGAUCGUGAAGAAAUAUUCUUGCCACGUGUAUACGAUCAACCAAACAUAGAUGACAGGUCAUCGGUGUACUGUGAUGUUAGUGAAAGAGAGCAAGACGAAACAAGUACACCAAACAUCUACAUAGAGUGUGUGUAGUCACAUGCUUUAAAUAAACUCAUUCUUUUAGGCGUUUUCAUACGCUCCGUGACAUGAAAAACAUAUCUGUCUACUUCUAUGCCAGCCUGAAUUUAACAGACAUUUCUAGGUGUCGUAGGAAGUUAUCUGGGUUUUAUUUUACUUGUAUUUGUCCUAAAUUAAUGUUAAUUUUCAAUAAACAUACUAAGUUUUUUCUGCAUUUGUUUGGUACCAUUUUUGGGUAUGGUAUUUAUCAUACAAUCAAUAUAAUUUAAUGAAAAUUUCAAUCGUAAGGAUGCGCAAAUAUAUUCUAUUAAUAAACCAUUACUGUAUCGAUUUAUAUUCGUAAGAAUCUGAAACUGAAGUUAUGUCUUAAGAGCUCUUUUAAACAUUAAGUGCAAACAUUUCCUUUCGUAUGCCAAUACCGUAAUGUUUGAGGGGA
This is a long non-coding RNA of Magallana angulata, 1477 nucleotides long. RefSeq lists it as uncharacterized. NCBI's taxonomy places the organism in Eukaryota, Metazoa, Mollusca, Bivalvia, Ostreida, Ostreidae. The record is from RefSeq and is a predicted model, not a curated record. The transcript is spliced from 4 exons.